Molecule: ribosomal RNA, 431 nt
Filed under: uncultured bacterium
Lineage: Bacteria
Description: partial 16S ribosomal RNA
Rfam family: Bacterial small subunit ribosomal RNA
Source: RNAcentral
AACGAACGCUGGCGGCAGGCUUAACACAUGCAAGUCGAGCGCCCCGCAAGGGGAGCGGCAGACGGGUGAGUAACGCGUGGGGACGUACCCUUUGGUUCGGAACAACUCCGGGAAACUGGCGCUAAUACCGGAUAAGCCCUAACGGGGAAAGAUUUAUCGCCGAAAGAUCGGCCCGCGUCUGAUUAGCUAGUUGGUGAGGUAACGGCUCACCAAGGCGACGAUCAGUAGCUGGUCUGAGAGACUGAUCAGCCACACUGGGACUGAGACACGGCCCAGACUCCUACGGGAGGCAGCAGUGGGGAAUAUUGGACAAUGGGCGCAAGCCUGAUCCAGCCAUGCCGCGUGAGUGAUGAAGGCCUUAGGGUUGUAAAGCUCUUUUGUCCGGGAAGAUAAUGACGGUACCGGAAGAAUAAGCCCCGGCUAACUUCGUG